CCAUCGCCCAAUCNCCUUGAGUUGAUAUGGNUCAGAAUGAACGUUGGCGGCGUGGAUUAGGCAUGCGAGUCGUACGAGAACCCCGCAAGGGGGGAAAGUGGCGAACGGGGUAGUAAGGCGUAGGUGACGUGCCCUGCGGUCGGGGAUAGCUUAGGGAAACUUAAGGUAAUACCCGAUAAUCCCAUGAGGCUUGAAGGCCAUAUGGGCAAAGGUGUGAUUCCACCACAGGAGCGGCUUGCGUGGUAUUAGCUAGUUGGUGAGGUAACGGCUCACCAAGGCAACGAUGCCUAGGGGAUGUUAGCGCAUGAUCCCCACCACUGGGACUGAGAUACUGCCCAGACACCUACGGGUGGCUGCAGUCGAGAAUCUUCGGCAAUGGGGGAAACCCUGACCGAGCGACGCCGCGUGUGGGAUGAAGGCCCUUGGGUUGUAAACCACUGUCAGAGGGGAUGAAAUGCCGGAGGGUUCUCCCUCCGGUUUGACAUAGCCUCAGAGGAAGCACGGGCUAAGUUCGUGCCAGCAGCCGCGGUAAGACGAACUGUGCAAACGUUAUUCGGAAUCACUGGGCUUGAAGAGUGCGUAGGCGGUUUUGUAAGUAGGGUGUGAAAGCCCCCGGCCUAACCGGGGAAUUGCGCCCUAAACUGCAAGGCUGGAGUGAGGUANGGGGUGUGUGGAACUUCCAGUGGAGCGGUGAAAUGUGUUGAUAUUGGAAGGAACGCCGGUGGCGAAAGCGACACACUGGACCUUGUCUGACGCUGAAGCAC
Molecule: ribosomal RNA, 764 nt
Filed under: uncultured bacterium
Lineage: Bacteria
Description: bacterial SSU rRNA
Rfam family: Bacterial small subunit ribosomal RNA
Source: RNAcentral